Molecule: long non-coding RNA, 674 nt
Organism: Manis javanica (Malayan pangolin)
Lineage: Eukaryota; Metazoa; Chordata; Mammalia; Pholidota; Manidae
Source: RefSeq, a predicted model, not a curated record
CUCGCAGGGGGGCGCCUCCCCGGCACGUGCGCCGCGGGGCCCGGGGGCAGGCGAAGCUGCACCCGAGUUUACCACGUGGAUUUGGUAGAUUUGCGACCAUAAAUGGGAAACCAAGACCCUUGAAGCCCAUCUCCGAAACCCAAGUUAAGCACCUCUAACAGAAGAGAAAUGCAACAGCCCUGAGGAUAGCACUUAAAAGGAAGUGGUCUAUGGAGGAGACACAGUCUGGGACAUGCUGAAAUUUCUGAGGGUUCAGCUUGGCCAUUUUAGAAAGAACAUGGGUCUUCUCUGGGACUGGUCUCCUGUCUGUCAACCGGGAACCUUGGCGGGGCCGCUGGCCGCUACUUGUCCAGCAGAAAGAAACUGCCUUUGGGUGAUGGUAAGAACGCCAGGAGCAGAGGCGGCCCUUCAGAUGUACCAGAUGAAGUCCCAGAACUACCCACAUCAGGGCGGCUCAACUGUUGAACUGUGACAGCCUGACCAGAGAGGGCAGCUCUGCUUCUCAGGGCCAGUGGCACCACACCAUGCUGGGGACACCACAGAGUUGGAGACCAGGGCUAAGAAGGUGGAAACACGAGGACAGACGCUGGAAUGUGUGGCCUCCUCUAGGAAAAAGCAGCCAAAAAGGUCACCUGCUUUGGACACAGAAGCGGCUUCCCAAGUUUACUUUACAA